This 28-nucleotide non-coding RNA is filed under the name Mus musculus (house mouse). Lineage: Eukaryota; Metazoa; Chordata; Mammalia; Rodentia; Muridae. The record is from RNAcentral.
UGACAUGAGUGCAUGGAACAAACCUGGC